This 452-nucleotide long non-coding RNA is filed under the name Vombatus ursinus (common wombat). RNAcentral describes it as "lncRNA (ENSVURG00010010419.1)". Lineage: Eukaryota; Metazoa; Chordata; Mammalia; Diprotodontia; Vombatidae. The record is from RNAcentral.
GUAGUCCUGAGGCUCCCAAGGCGCAGGCUCGUCUCCCCCCUCCCUUCUAAGGCGGCAUGAAGAAUGCGCGCGCAGCCUCGACGCCAUGAUUGGUUCUUUGGCCUCGAACCAGUUCUUUAUCUGAGGUCAGGCCAGGCCCCGGACCCAAUUCCAGUGGGGAGCCAGGAUAUGUGUCAGAGAAGAAUCCUAUUCACCUGUGUCUAUCUAAGUGACUGUCUGUCUUCUCAAGACUUUGCCUUUCCCCAGCAAGAGAGCACUGAGCAGGAGAAGAUGAAUUCUGUACUUCUGACAGCCAGAUCCCCGUCUAGGAUCUCCCUUAACUCAGAUUCCUCCUGUGACCCAACAUGAAUGGAGGCUGGUCGCUUCUGCUAUUGUGGCAAUUCUAGAGGAUGUGCAGGUUUAAGGUAAGAGAUGUGGAAAACGGAGUGACUUUUCCAAGACUACAGUAACCC